RNAcentral lists this ribosomal RNA (497 nucleotides) under uncultured bacterium. RNAcentral's name for it is "partial 16S ribosomal RNA". It matches the Rfam family "Bacterial small subunit ribosomal RNA", at positions 28 to 507 of the family's 1533-position model. The record is from RNAcentral.
GAUGAACGCUGGCGGCGUGCCUAAUACAUGCAAGUCGAGCGAACAGACGAGGAGCUUGCUCCUCUGACGUUAGCGGCGGACGGGUGAGUAACACGUGGAUAACCUACCUAUAAGACUGGGAUAACUUCGGGAAACCGGAGCUAAUACCGGAUAAUAUAUUGAACCGCAUGGUUCAAUAGUGAAAGACGGUUUUGCUGUCACUUAUAGAUGGAUCCGCGCCGCAUUAGCUAGUUGGUAAGGUAACGGCUUACCAAGGCAACGAUGCGUAGCCGACCUGAGAGGGUGAUCGGGCACACUGGAACUGAGAAACGGUCCAGACUCCUACGGGAGGCAGCAGUAGGGAAUCUUCCGCAAUGGGCGAAAGCUUGACGGAGCAACGCCGCGUGAGUGAUGAAGGUCUUCGGAUCGUAAAACUCUGUUAUUAGGGAAGAACAAAUGUGUAAGUAACUAUGCACGUCUUGACGGUACCUAAUCAGAAAGCCACGGCUAACUACGUG